CAGUCGCCACGGUAAUACGAAGGGUGCAAGCGUUACUCGGUAUUACUGGGCGUAAAGCGUGCGUAGGUGGUGGUUUAAGUCCGUUGUGAAAGCCCUGGGCUCAACCUGGGAAUUGCAGUGGAUACUGGGUCACUAGAGUGUGGUAGAGGAUAGUGGAAUUUCCGGUGUAGCAGUGAAAUGCGUAGAGAUCGGAAGGAACAUCUGUGGCGAAGGCGACUAUCUGGGCCAACACUGACACUGAGGCACGAAAGCGUGGGGAGCAAACAGGAUUAGAUACCCCUGUAGUCCCUGUCUCUUAUAC
This 301-nucleotide ribosomal RNA is filed under the name uncultured bacterium. Its description in RNAcentral is "partial 16S ribosomal RNA". It matches the Rfam family "Bacterial small subunit ribosomal RNA", at positions 509 to 807 of the family's 1533-position model. The record is from RNAcentral.